RNAcentral lists this ribosomal RNA (473 nucleotides) under uncultured bacterium. RNAcentral's name for it is "SSU rRNA". It matches the Rfam family "Bacterial small subunit ribosomal RNA", at positions 26 to 518 of the family's 1533-position model. The record is from RNAcentral.
AGGACGAACGCUGGCGGCGUGCUUAACACAUGCAAGUCGAGCGGAAAGGCCCUUCGGGGUACUCGAGCGGCGAACGGGUGAGUAACACGUGAGCAACCUGCCCUUAGCUUCGGGAUAGCUCCGGGAAACCGGAAUUAAUACCGGAUAUGACUAUGGCCGACAUCAGCCAUGGUGGAAAGUUUUUCGGCUAGGGAUGGACUCGCGGCCUAUCAGCUAGUUGGUGAGGUAACGGCUCACCAAGGCGACGACGGGUAGCCGGCCUGAGAGGGCGACCGGCCACACUGGGACUGAGACACGGCCCAGACUCCUACGGGAGGCAGCAGUGGGGAAUAUUGCGCAAUGGGCGAAAGCCUGACGCAGCGACGCCGCGUGGGGGAUGAAUGCCUUCGGGUUGUAAACCCUUUCAGCAGGGACGAAGCGAAAGUGACGGUACCUGCAGAAGAAGCGCCGGCUAACUACGUGCUAGCAGCCGC